Molecule: ribosomal RNA, 218 nt
Filed under: uncultured bacterium
Lineage: Bacteria
Description: partial 16S ribosomal RNA
Rfam family: Bacterial small subunit ribosomal RNA
Source: RNAcentral
UAGCUUGGGAAUCUAGCUUAUGGAGGGGGAUAACUACGGGAAACUGUAGCUAAUACCGCGUAGAAUCGAGAGAUGAAAGUGUGGGACCUUCGGGCCACAUGCCAUAGGAUGAGCCCAAGUGGGAUUAGGUAGUUGGUGAGGUAAAGGCUCACCAAGCCGACGAUCUCUAGCUGGUCUGAGAGGAUGACCAGCCACACUGGGACUGAGACACGGCCCAG